This 275-nucleotide ribosomal RNA is filed under the name uncultured bacterium. RNAcentral's name for it is "partial 16S ribosomal RNA". It matches the Rfam family "Bacterial small subunit ribosomal RNA", at positions 399 to 691 of the family's 1533-position model. The record is from RNAcentral.
GCGUGAGUGAAGAAGGCCUUAGGGUUGUAAAGCUCUUUCAACUGUGAAGAUGAUGACGGUAGCAGUAGAAGAAGCUCCGGCUAACUCCGUGCCAGCAGCCGCGGUAAUACGGAGGGAGCUAGCGUUGUUCGGAAUUACUGGGCGUAAAGAGUACGUAGGCGGCUUUGUAAGUUAGGAGUGAAAUCCCCGGGCUCAACCUGGGAACUGCUCUUAAGACUGCAGAGCUUGAGGACGAGAGAGGAAAGUGGAAUUCCUAGUGUAGAGGUGAAAUUCGU